AAAGGAAAUCUUAGAACACUGAUGUCUUAACAGUAGCCCUAAAAAGAGAUUGUUGAAGUUUGAUUGAGUUAAUGGGAAUAAAAUGGCCACAAUAUUUUAUUUUAAUUGGCUGGCUAUGUUCUAAAAUAUCUCAACGUAUCUCACCAAAAUGCUUCAAUAUGUUUUAAAAAAUGUGUUUUAUCUCUGUAUUUCACCUGCAGGCUGAGUAUUGUCUGUUGGCUUUACGUUUUACCUAGAAUUUCCAGAAAGGGCAAUUUCAGACUACUCAAAGAAGAGCCCUUCAUGGAAAUACCAUAUGCUUCAGUACUCUGCUUUCCUGAAGGUUGGAAGACUCUAUGAUGAUACAGAGAGGUGAAGGUGGAGAACCUACCCAAGAAGGCUGAGCUAAAGAUCCAUUCUGCAAUUGUGGUACACCAGUGUACUCAUGUUGAUUGAACUUCAAUACAGAGACAAUGAGUUUGGGUCCUCACAGAUCAGAGCUCAACACUUGGAGGUUAACAUCACCAACUGUUCACAGAAUUGAUAAAGUCACAGAAAACUUGAAGGCAGCAAGCUUCUGUAUCCCAUAUGUGUAAGAGAAGCAUUUAUGCUUAUGUCCACUUUUUCUUAGUAUCAAGUAAGAAGAUGUGAUUUGGUCUGCAGCUUGCCAAAGCCAUUAGCUGCUUGUGUAAUUCUGGGAGGUUGCCAAAGCAGUUUUGGUCUUUACUGAGGAUUCUUUAAGACAACUGCUCUGUUUGAAGUUCUUCACUGGUUUGAAGUGCUACAAAAGGCUGGAGGAUUUGCAGACAGAUUUUGGGCAAGAUAUAAAUUGGUAAGAUAAGUACAGCCUCCCAUGAGACUCUGCACACUGAAUAUUGUCAUGAUCACUAUUGUGAGCUGCAUCUCUACAGGCUUGUCUGCAGGAAUGCACUAGUAUUUUUGGCUGUGCCUGGAAAACAUAAAAAGUAUUUCUUCUCCUAAGGAUUGUAUUUAGCAGCAGACAUUUGAUUUGCUACAGAAUAACUGAACAGGUAAAUUAUUAAUUAUAGUCCCUAUAUUUAACAAUCAGACUUUGUUAAAUACUGAACUCCUAAUAUCAGAACCAGAGUAUUGCGCAUGUGUCCUUGCUUCCACAAAGACAGAUACUUUAUGUAAAGUAGUCACAUAUAUAUAUGUGACUGGUUCCACUUUCCAAAUUCAGUAGUAAGUU
Long non-coding RNA from Gallus gallus (chicken), 1189 nucleotides. RefSeq lists it as uncharacterized. The transcript is spliced from 3 exons. NCBI's taxonomy places the organism in Eukaryota, Metazoa, Chordata, Aves, Galliformes, Phasianidae. The record is from RefSeq and is a predicted model, not a curated record.